Unclassified non-coding RNA from Cricetulus griseus (Chinese hamster), 286 nucleotides. It matches the Rfam family "Metazoan signal recognition particle RNA". From Rfam's summary of the family: The signal recognition particle (SRP) is a universally conserved ribonucleoprotein. It is involved in the co-translational targeting of proteins to membranes. NCBI's taxonomy places the organism in Eukaryota, Metazoa, Chordata, Mammalia, Rodentia, Cricetidae. The record is from Ensembl.
GCUGGGCACGGUGGCGCACGCCUGUAGUCCCAGCUACUUAGGAGGCUGAGACAGGAGGAUCGCUUGAGUCCAGGAGUUCUGGGCUGUAGUGCGCUAUGCCUAUCGGGUGUCCGCACGAAGUUUGGCAUCAAUAUGGUGACCUCCCAGGAGCGGGGAGCCACCAGGUUGCCUAAGGAGGGGUGAACCGGCCCAGGUCAGAAACGGAGCAGGUCAAAACUCCUGUGCUGAUCAGAAUUAAUCUCUCUCUCUAUAGAAAGGGGAUUUAUGAGAGUGACUUACAGGCUGU